AUUGAACGCUGGCGGCAGGCUUAACACAUGCAAGUCGAGCGGAAACGAUGAAAAGCUUGCUUUUCAGGCGUCGAGCGGCGGACGGGUGAGUAAUGCGUACGAAUCUGCCUAGUAGUGGGGGAUAGCCCAGAGAAAUUUGGAUUAAUACCGCAUACGCCCUACGGGGGAAAGCAGGGGACCUUCGGGCCUUGCGCUUUUAGAUGAGCGUGCGUCGGAUUAGCUAGUUGGUGGGGUAAUGGCCUACCAAGGCGACGAUCCGUAGCUGGUCUGAGAGGAUGAUCAGCCACACUGGGACUGAGACACGGCCCAG
This 310-nucleotide ribosomal RNA is filed under the name uncultured bacterium. RNAcentral describes it as "bacterial SSU rRNA". It matches the Rfam family "Bacterial small subunit ribosomal RNA", at positions 30 to 334 of the family's 1533-position model. The record is from RNAcentral.